Molecule: non-coding RNA, 156 nt
Organism: Paenibacillus sp.
Lineage: Bacteria; Bacillati; Bacillota; Bacilli; Caryophanales; Paenibacillaceae
Source: Rfam
UAGCAAUUGAAUAGCAGACCGUAGACAGUAGGUGCUCUCUGGCAGAGCUUAAUGUCCUACCGAGGUGUUAUGAUAGAUGCGCAGUUUCCGCAAGCGGAAUUUCGCGUGACCCGAUCAUGCCUUCGUAGUGUCUACGAAGGCAUUUCUUAUGUCCGC